AAGUCGUAACAAGGUUUCCGUAGGUGAACCUGCGGAAGGAUCAUUACCAUUUGCUUGCGGCGCCGUUUGGGGCAACCCAGCGGCGCUCAGCUCGCCACCCUUGCCUAUCAAUCACCCGUUCUCCCUCGGUGGAUCCGUCCACCGACAGGGACCUUGAAACCACUUGCAUCCAGCAUCAACCUUCAAACAAACCAAAUAAUCACAACUUUCAACAAUGGAUCUCUUGGCUCUG
Molecule: unclassified non-coding RNA, 232 nt
Filed under: fungal sp.
Lineage: Eukaryota; Fungi
Description: partial internal transcribed spacer region
Rfam family: Eukaryotic small subunit ribosomal RNA (bases 1-46)
Source: RNAcentral